AAAGGCUUCAAUCACAAGAGAGAAGGCAUCAUUUCCACCAUUUUGUUUCCGAGUUUCAGAAUCAAAAACGAAAGCUACAUCUAGAAGAAGAAAAGAAAAAGAUAAGGAAAUGCGGAUCAAAGGUCAAACAUAUCACCUGGAAUCUGGAGGAUCAACAAAAAUGCAUCAAUCUGGUUUAUGCAUGAUGGUUUAAUGUGCAAAGAGACUGAUUUAAAAUGGAUGUGGGUGUGUGAGAUGAUGAAGGGACUAUGUGGGGACCUCAACAAAUAAUAAAUCUUGUUUUUUUAUGAUGUCAAUGGAUUAUGAAAACUCUCUUUUUUUAGGCUUAAUUACAACUUUGGUCCCCCUAUUUUGCUUUUUCUUUAGUUUUGGUCCCCUUAUUUUAAAAACCAUAUUUUUUGGUCUCCUUUUAAGUUUUUGUGUUGGAUUUUAGUCCCCUAAAAAGGCACCAAAAUCCAACCCAAAACUUUAGAAAGAACCAAAAUUGCGAUUUUUAAAAUGAAGGGACCAAAACCCAAAUAAAGACAAAAUAGAGGGACCAAAAUUGCAAUUAAGCAUUUUUUGUAUUUUAGAUGCAUAUGUAACAAUGAGGUGAUAACAUUAAUGUAUUGGUGUUAAUGCGUAAAAGAUUGCCCACUUUAUCUCAAAC
Long non-coding RNA from Lathyrus oleraceus (garden pea), 649 nucleotides. RefSeq lists it as uncharacterized. The transcript is spliced from 2 exons. The record is from RefSeq and is a predicted model, not a curated record. Lineage: Eukaryota; Viridiplantae; Streptophyta; Magnoliopsida; Fabales; Fabaceae.